Molecule: ribosomal RNA, 432 nt
Filed under: uncultured Corynebacterium sp.
Lineage: Bacteria; Bacillati; Actinomycetota; Actinomycetes; Mycobacteriales; Corynebacteriaceae
Description: bacterial SSU rRNA
Rfam family: Bacterial small subunit ribosomal RNA
Source: RNAcentral
GUGGGGAAUAUUGCACAAUGGGCGCAAGCCUGAUGCAGCGACGCCGCGUGGGGGAUGACGGCCUUCGGGUUGUAAACUCCUUUCGCUAGGGACGAAGCUUUUUGUGACGGUACCUAGAUAAGAAGCACCGGCUAACUACGUGCCAGCAGCCGCGGUAAUACGUAGGGUGCGAGCGUUGUCCGGAAUUACUGGGCGUAAAGGGCUCGUAGGUGGUUUGUCGCGUCGUCUGUGAAAUUCCGGGGCUUAACUCCGGGCGUGCAGGCGAUACGGGCAUAACUUGAGUACUGUAGGGGUAACUGGAAUUCCUGGUGUAGCGGUGAAAUGCGCAGAUAUCAGGAGGAACACCGAUGGCGAAGGCAGGUUACUGGGCAGUUACUGACGCUGAGGAGCGAAAGCAUGGGUAGCGAACAGGAUUAGAAACCCUAGUAGUCC